Molecule: ribosomal RNA, 477 nt
Filed under: uncultured bacterium
Lineage: Bacteria
Description: partial 16S ribosomal RNA
Rfam family: Bacterial small subunit ribosomal RNA
Source: RNAcentral
GACGAACGCUGGCGGCGUGCUUAACACAUGCAAGUCGAACGGUAAGGCCCUUCGGGGUACACGAGUGGCGAACGGGUGAGUAACACGUGGGUGAUCUGCCCUGCACUUCGGGAUAAGCCUGGGAAACUGGGUCUAAUACCGGAUAGGACUCCGGACUGCAUGGUCUGGGGUGGAAAGCUUUUGCGGUGUGGGAUGGCCCGCGGCCUAUCAGCUUGUUGGUGGGGUGAUGGCGUACCAAGGCGACUACGGGGAGCCGGCCUGAGAGGGUGACCGACCAAACGGGGACUGCGAUACGGCCCAGACUGCUACGGGAGGCAGCAGUGGGGAAUAUUGCGCAAUGGGCGCAAGCCUGAUGCAGCGACGCCGCGUGAGGGAUGACGGCCUUCGGGUUGUAAACCUCUUUCAGCAUCGACGAAGCGAAAGUGACGGUAGGUGCAGAAGAAGGACCGGCCAACUACGUGCCAGCCGCCGCCGUAA